Molecule: ribosomal RNA, 277 nt
Filed under: uncultured soil bacterium
Lineage: Bacteria
Description: partial 16S ribosomal RNA
Rfam family: Bacterial small subunit ribosomal RNA
Source: RNAcentral
AGAAUCAACGCUGGCGGCGUGCCUCAGACAUGCAAGUCGAACGCGAAAGUUCCCUUCGGGGAGCGAGUAGAGUGGCGCACGGGUGAGUAACACGUAGGUAAUCUACCUUUGGGUGGGGAAUAACAGCCGGAAACGGCUGCUAAUACCGCAUAAUGCAGCGGCUCGACAUCGAGACAGUUGUUAAAGCGGGGGAUCGCAAGACCUCGCGCCUAAAGAGGAGCCUGCGGCGGAUUAGCUAGUUGGUGGGGUAAUGGCUCACCAAGGCAUCGAUCCCGUA